GGUUCUCAGGUUGCUGGGGCGGCUUGUUUGAACUGUUUGGACCACAGGUUUGAACUGUUUCAACGGGAAUCAUGGCAAAUCCACUUGGAGGCUUAUUUAAACCAAAGUCCCGCUGGCGGGAAAAGAUAACGGACGGAGCAGCACUGCGUGGCCUCGCAAUCCCAGCGACCCGACGAGCUCGCGAAGUGGUGCUUGGAAAACUACCCUCCCAAAGCCGACGACGCGCACUCGCACGUACAUGCGCAAGCGAUCACCUCUGUGGACAGCGAAGAAACAUCGUCGCACUGUGACAACUUUGUUGGCGUUCGUUUCAUAAAACCCGUUCUAUAAGGAGCUUGUGUCCACCCUGAAAGGCCUGACGAGCCACGUGCUCGUAUUCAAGCUGGUGCCACGAGGUGGGCCUUUCGGGCAUGCCAGGGAGGAUGAGAGGCUGUCCCUGAACCGCCUACUAGUACGGAAGGUGUUGCCCUCGGCGUUACCAUCGUGAAUGUCGACCACGUUGCUCCAUCUCCCAACAGAAGCACCAAACACUGCUUUCGGCCAUCUGCGUCCUGACGCAGGUUGCUGAUGCUUUGCAAAAACAAAGCUGCACCUUUCGAUUCCACAAGGUAACACCCAUCACUAAUGUAGUUUGACAGAACCUUCAAGCUUGCCUUGUGCAGGUGUUACUCUUUCCAGAGAAUUCUACCGCUAG
Ixodes scapularis (black-legged tick) is the source of this 694-nucleotide long non-coding RNA. RefSeq lists it as uncharacterized. Lineage: Eukaryota; Metazoa; Arthropoda; Arachnida; Ixodida; Ixodidae. The transcript has 3 exons. The record is from RefSeq and is a predicted model, not a curated record.